RNAcentral lists this ribosomal RNA (119 nucleotides) under Pteropus alecto (black flying fox). Lineage: Eukaryota; Metazoa; Chordata; Mammalia; Chiroptera; Pteropodidae. The record is from RNAcentral.
GUCUAUGGCCAUGCCACCCUGAACAAGCCCCAUCCCGUCUGAUCUCGGAAGCUAAGCAGGAUCAGGCCUAGUUAGUACUUGGAUGGGAGACCACCUAGGAAGACCAGGUGCUGUAGGUG